RNAcentral lists this ribosomal RNA (501 nucleotides) under uncultured bacterium. RNAcentral describes it as "partial 16S ribosomal RNA". It matches the Rfam family "Bacterial small subunit ribosomal RNA", at positions 30 to 523 of the family's 1533-position model. The record is from RNAcentral.
AUUGAACGCUGGCGGCAUGCCUUACACAUGCAAGUCGAACGGCAGCACGGGUGCUUGCACCUGGUGGCGAGUGGCGAACGGGUGAGUAAUACAUCGGAACGUACCUUAUCGUGGGAGAUAACGCAGCGAAAGCUGUGCUAAUACCGCAUACGCCCUGAGGGGGAAAGCGGGGGAUCGCAAGACCUCGCGCGAUUAGAGCGGCCGAUGCCUGAUUAGCUUGUUGGUGGGGUAAAAGCCCACCAAGGCGACGAUCAGUAGCUGGUCUGAGAGGACAAUCAGCCACACUGGGACUGAGACACGGCCCAGACUCCUACGGGAGGCAGCAGUGGGGAAUUUUGGACAAUGGGGGCAACCCUGAUCCAGCAAUGCCGCGUGAGUGAAGAAGGCCUUCGGGUUGUAAAGCUCUUUUGUCAGGGAAGAAACACCGGCUCUAACACAGUCCGGGAAUGACGGUACCUGAAGAAUAAGCACCGGCUAACUACGUGCCAGCCGCCGCCGUAA